This 205-nucleotide long non-coding RNA is filed under the name Sorghum bicolor (sorghum). RNAcentral describes it as "long non-coding RNA (SBIC_LNC013187)". Lineage: Eukaryota; Viridiplantae; Streptophyta; Magnoliopsida; Poales; Poaceae. The record is from RNAcentral.
CGGUAGUAGUUUAUCGGUAGACGGUGCGCAAACUACGAACUCGAUGGUGACGCAAGACACGGACAAGCUUUUUAUCCAGGUUCGGCCGCCGAGUUGGCGUAAUACCUACGUCCUGCGUCUGGUUGUAUUGAUUUGUGCUGAGAGAAUAUGAUGUGAUGUGUCCUCUAGGGGACCCCUGCCCCUCCUUAUAUAUCCUGAAGGGACA